This 465-nucleotide ribosomal RNA is filed under the name Vreelandella stevensii. RNAcentral's name for it is "partial 16S ribosomal RNA". It matches the Rfam family "Bacterial small subunit ribosomal RNA", at positions 338 to 795 of the family's 1533-position model. Lineage: Bacteria; Pseudomonadati; Pseudomonadota; Gammaproteobacteria; Oceanospirillales; Halomonadaceae. The record is from RNAcentral.
CCUACGGGUGGCUGCAGUGGGGAAUAUUGGACAAUGGGGGCAACCCUGAUCCAGCCAUGCCGCGUGUGUGAAGAAGGCCCUCGGGUCGUAAAGCACUUUCAGUGAGGAAGAACGCCUGGUGGUUAAUACCCAUCAGGAAAGACAUCUCUCACAGAAGAAGCACCGGCUAACUCCGUGCCAGCAGCCGCGGUAAUACGGAGGGUGCGAGCGUUAAUCGGAAUUACUGGGCGUAAAGCGCGCGUAGGUGGCUUGAUAAGCCGGGUGUGAAAGCCCCGGGCUCAACCUGUGAACGGCAUCCGGACCUGUCAAGCUAGAGUGCAGGGGAGGAAGGUAGAAUUCCCGGGGUAGCGGUGAAUUGCGUAGAGAUCGGGAGGAAUACCAGUGGCGAAGGGGGCCUUCUGGCCUGACACUGACACUGAGGUGCGAAAGCGUGGGUAGCAAACAGGAUUAGAUACCCGGGUAGUC